AUUGAACGCUGGCGGCAGGCCUAACACAUGCAAGUCGAGCGGAUGAAGGGAGCUUGCUCCUGGAUUCAGCGGCGGACGGGUGAGUAAUACCUAGGAAUCUGCCUGGUAGUGGGGGAUAACGUCCGGAAACGGGCGCUAAUACCGCAUACGUCCUGCGGGAGCUGGUGGGUGGUCUUCGGGCAUCACGCUAUCAGGUGGGCGCAGGUCGGGUUAGCUAGUUGGUGGGGUUAAGGCCUACCAAGGCGACGAUCCGUAAGUGGUCUGAGUGGAUGAUCAGUCACACUGGAACUGAGACACGGUCCAUACUCCUACGAGAGGCAGCAGUGGGGAAUAGUGGACAAUGGGCGAAAGUCUGAUCCAGCCAUGCCGCGUGUGUGAAGAAGGUCUUCGGAGUGUAAAGCAGUUUAAGUGGGGAGGAAGGGCAGUAAGUUAAUACCUUGCUGUUUUGACGUUACCAACAGAAUAAGCACCGGCUAACUUCGUG
RNAcentral lists this ribosomal RNA (484 nucleotides) under uncultured bacterium. Its description in RNAcentral is "partial 16S ribosomal RNA". It matches the Rfam family "Bacterial small subunit ribosomal RNA", at positions 30 to 507 of the family's 1533-position model. The record is from RNAcentral.